This is a non-coding RNA of Plectropomus leopardus (leopard coralgrouper), 437 nucleotides long. The record is from RefSeq and is a predicted model, not a curated record. NCBI's taxonomy places the organism in Eukaryota, Metazoa, Chordata, Actinopteri, Perciformes, Serranidae.
ACUACAAAUCCCCUCCACUAACAGAUUAAAUUACAAAUCCCCCUCCACCAACAGGUAAAAAAAAAAAAACUACAAAUCCCCUCCACCAACAGGAAUAAAAACUACAAAUCCCCUCCACCAACAGAAAAAAAAAACUACAAAUCCCCUCUACUAACAGAUUAAAUUACAAAUCCCCCCUCCACCAACAGGUAAAAAAAACUGCAAAUACCCUCCACCAACAGGAAUAAAAACUACAAAUCCCCUCCACCAACAGGUACAAAAACUACAAAUCCCCUCCACUAACAGAUUAAAUUACAAAUCCCCCUCCACCAACAGGUAAAAAAACUACAAAUCUCCUCCACCAACAGAUAAAACUACAAAUCCCCUCCACCAACAGGUAAAAAAACUACAAAUCUCCUCCACCAACAGAUAAAACUACAAAUCCCUUCCACCAACAG